AUCCAGUUGACGAGUCCCAUAUAGGACGAAAUGCUAAUCCUGGAU
This 45-nucleotide non-coding RNA is filed under the name Trichobilharzia regenti. The record is from RNAcentral. Lineage: Eukaryota; Metazoa; Platyhelminthes; Trematoda; Strigeidida; Schistosomatidae.